GUGCUCACUUCGGCAGCACACACACUGAAGCUGCAGCGACACAGAGGCCAGCGCGGCCCCUGCGCGAGGAGGACACGCAGGGUCGUGAGCUGCUCCACAUUUCA
This 104-nucleotide small nuclear RNA is filed under the name Ovis aries (sheep). Lineage: Eukaryota; Metazoa; Chordata; Mammalia; Artiodactyla; Bovidae. The record is from RNAcentral.